This 440-nucleotide ribosomal RNA is filed under the name uncultured bacterium. Its description in RNAcentral is "bacterial SSU rRNA". It matches the Rfam family "Bacterial small subunit ribosomal RNA", at positions 338 to 771 of the family's 1533-position model. The record is from RNAcentral.
CCUACGGGUGGCAGCAGUGGGGAAUCUUGCGCAAUGGGCGAAAGCCUGACGCAGCGACGCCGCGUGAGUGAUGAAGGCCCUCGGGUUGUAAAGCUCUGUGGGGAGAGACGAAUAAGGGCCGGCUAAUACCCGGCUCGAUGACGGUAUCUCCUUAGCAAGCACCGGCUAACUCUGUGCCAGCAGCCGCGGUAAGACAGAGGGUGCAAACGUUGUUCGGAAUUACUGGGCGUAAAGCGCGUGUAGGCGGCAGGGUGUGUCGGAUGUGAAAUCCCGUGGCUCAACCACGGAAGUGCACCCGAAACUACCCAGCUCGAGUCUCGGAGAGGAAGGUGGAAUGCUUGGUGUAGAGGUGAAAUUCGUAGAUAUCAAGCGGAACACCGGUGGCGAAGGCGGCCUUCUGGACGAUGACUGACGCUGAGACGCGAAAGCGUGGGGAGCAA